RNAcentral lists this ribosomal RNA (346 nucleotides) under uncultured bacterium. Its description in RNAcentral is "partial 16S ribosomal RNA". It matches the Rfam family "Bacterial small subunit ribosomal RNA", at positions 338 to 681 of the family's 1533-position model. The record is from RNAcentral.
CCUACGGGAGGCUGCAGUGAGGAAUAUUGGUCAAUGGGCGCGAGCCUGAACCAGCCAAGUAGCGUGAAGGAUGACUGCCCUACGGGUUGUAAACUUCUGUUAUAAAGGAAUAAAGUGAGGCACGUGUGCCUUUUUGUAUGUACUUUAUGAAUAAGGAUAGGCUAACGCCGUGCCAGCAGCCGCGGUAAUACGGAGGAUCCGAGCGUUAUCCGGAUUUAUUGGGUUUAAAGGGAGCGUAGAUGGGUUGUUAAGUCAGUUGUGUAAGUUUGCGGCUCAACCGUAAAAUUGCAAUUGAUACUGGCAGCCUUGAGUACAGUUGAGGUCGGCGGUAUUCGUGGUGUAGCGG